CCUACGGGAGGCAGCAGCAGGGAAUAUUGCGCAAUGAGCGAAAGCUUGACGCAGCGACACCGCGUGUGGGAUGACGGAUCUAGGUUUGUAAACCACUUUCAGGAGGGAAGAAAAUGACGGUACCUCCACAAGAAGCCCCGGCCAACUACGUGCCAGCAGCCGCGGUAAUACGUAGGGGGCGAGCGUUGUCCGGAUUUAUUGGGCGUAAAGAGCUCGUAGGCGGUUCAACAAGUCGGUCGUGAAAGUUCAGGGCUCAACCCUGAAAUGUCGACCGAUACUGUUGUGACUAGGAUACGGUAGAGGUGAGUGGAAUUCCGAGUGUAGCGGUGAAAUGCGUAGAUAUUCGGAGGAACACCAAUAGCGAAGGCAGCUCACUGGGCCGCUAUCGACGCUGAGGAGCGAAAGCUAGGGGAGCAAACAGGAUUAGAUACCCUGGUAGUCCUAGCUGUAAACGAUGGAUACUAGACGUAGGAACUGGAUUGACGGUUUCUGUGUCGCAGCUAACGCGUUAAGUAUCCCGCCUGGGGAGUACGGUCGCAAGACUAAAACUCAAAGGAAUUGACGG
This 565-nucleotide ribosomal RNA is filed under the name uncultured bacterium. Its description in RNAcentral is "bacterial SSU rRNA". It matches the Rfam family "Bacterial small subunit ribosomal RNA", at positions 338 to 916 of the family's 1533-position model. The record is from RNAcentral.